ACUUCAUACCCUCCGAGAUCAGCAUCUGAACAACUCAUCCUUUGUGCCUUCAACUUCUCUCCCAAGAAGUGGGGAUAAGAGAAGUUCAACUGUAGCUCUCUCUGCUCCUGUGGGCUUUGCACCAGCUGUUAAUGGAGAGUCCAAUAGUCUUAUCUCAUCUGUUCCUUGUCCUGCCGCCUCUCUAGUUUCUCAGAAUGAGAGUGAAAAU
Molecule: long non-coding RNA, 208 nt
Filed under: Rattus norvegicus (Norway rat)
Lineage: Eukaryota; Metazoa; Chordata; Mammalia; Rodentia; Muridae
Description: long non-coding RNA NONRATT012009
Source: RNAcentral